GUGCCAGCAGCCGCGGUAAUACGUAGGGCGCAAGCGUUAUCCGGAAUUAUUGGGCGUAAAGAGCUCGUAGGCGGUCUGUCGCGUCUGCUGUGAAAACCCGAGGCUCAACCUCGGGCCUGCAGUGGGUACGGGCAGACUAGAGUGCGGUAGGGGAGAUUGGAAUUCCUGGUGUAGCGGUGGAAUGCGCAGAUAUCAGGAGGAACACCGAUGGCGAAGGCAGAUCUCUGGGCCGUAACUGACGCUGAGGAGCGAAAGGGUGGGGAGCAAACAGGCUUAGAUACCCUGGUAGUCCACCCCGUAAACGUUGGGAACUAGUUGUGGGGUCCAUUCCACGGAUUCCGUGACGCAGCUAACGCAUUAAGUUCCCCGCCUGGGGAGUACGGCCGCAAGGCUAAAACUCAAAGGAAUUGACGGGGACCCGCACAAGCGGCGGAGCAUGCGGAUUAAUUCGAUGCAACGCGAAGAACCUUACCAAGGCUUGACAUAUAGAGGAAACGUCUGGAAACAGUCGCCCCGCAAGGUCUCUAUACAGGUGGUGCAUGGUUGUCGUCAGCUCGUGUCGUGAGAUGUUGGGUUAAGUCCCGCAACGAGCGCAACCCUCGUUCUAUGUUGCCAGCACGUAAUGGUGGGAACUCAUGGGAUACUGCCGGGGUCAACUCGGAGGAAGGUGGGGAUGACGUCAAAUCAUCAUGCCCCUUAUGUCUUGGGCUUCACGCAUGCUACAAUGGCCGGUACAAAGGGCUGCAAUACCGUGAGGUGGAGCGAAUCCCAAAAAGCCGGUCCCAGUUCGGAUUGAGGUCUGCAACUCGACCUCAUGAAGUCGGAGUCGCUAGUAAUCGCAGAUCAGCAACGCUGCGGUGAAUACGUUCCCGGGUCUUGUACACACCGCCCGUCAAGUCAUGAAAGUCGGUAACACCUGAAGCCGGUGGCCCAACCCUUGUGGAGGGAGCCGUCGAAGGUGGGAUCGGUAAUUAGGACUAAGUCGUAACAAGGU
This 994-nucleotide ribosomal RNA is filed under the name Microbacterium sp. RNAcentral's name for it is "bacterial SSU rRNA". It matches the Rfam family "Bacterial small subunit ribosomal RNA", at positions 505 to 1497 of the family's 1533-position model. The record is from RNAcentral. Lineage: Bacteria; Bacillati; Actinomycetota; Actinomycetes; Micrococcales; Microbacteriaceae.